AACGAACGCUGGCGGCAUGCCUAACACAUGCAAGUCGAACGAGACCUCCGGGUCUAGUGGCGCACGCGUGCGUAACGCGUGGGAACCUUCCGUUAUGCUCCGAAUAAUACAGUUAAAUUUGAGCUAACACCGGAUGAUUUCCGCGGAUCAAAGAUUUAACCUCUUGGGAUGGGCCGGGGUUGUUUGGGCCAGGUGGGGGGGUAAGAGCCUACGAAGGCGACGAUCCAUAGCUGGUUUGAGAGGAUGAUCAGCCACCCUGGGACUGAGACACGGCCCAGAAUACUACGGAAGGCAGCAGUGGGGAAUAUUGGAAAAUGGGCGAAAGCCUGAUCCAGCAAUGCCGCGUGAGUGAUGAAGGCCUUAGGGUUGUAAAGCUCUUUUACCCGAGAUGAUAAUGACAGUACCGGGAGAAUAAGCACCGGCUAACUCCGUG
RNAcentral lists this ribosomal RNA (433 nucleotides) under uncultured bacterium. Its description in RNAcentral is "partial 16S ribosomal RNA". It matches the Rfam family "Bacterial small subunit ribosomal RNA", at positions 29 to 507 of the family's 1533-position model. The record is from RNAcentral.